UACGAAGGGUGCAAGCGUUAUCCGGAUUCACUGGGUUUAAAGGGUGCGUAGGCGGACAGGUAAGUCAGUGGUGAAAUCUCCGAGCUUAACUCGGAAACUGCCAUUGAUACUAUCAGUCUUGAAUAUUGUGGAGGUUAGCGGAAUAUGUCAUGUAGCGGUGAAAUGCUUAGAUAUGACAUAGAACACCAAUUGCGAAGGCAGCUGGCUACGCAUAUAUUGACACUGAGGCACGAAAGCGUGGGGAUCAAACAGG
RNAcentral lists this ribosomal RNA (253 nucleotides) under uncultured bacterium. RNAcentral's name for it is "partial 16S ribosomal RNA". It matches the Rfam family "Bacterial small subunit ribosomal RNA", at positions 524 to 776 of the family's 1533-position model. The record is from RNAcentral.